This 253-nucleotide ribosomal RNA is filed under the name uncultured bacterium. RNAcentral's name for it is "partial 16S ribosomal RNA". It matches the Rfam family "Bacterial small subunit ribosomal RNA", at positions 524 to 776 of the family's 1533-position model. The record is from RNAcentral.
UACGAAGGGGGCUAGCGUUGUUCGGAAUCACUGGGCGUAAAGCGCACGUAGGCGGAUUUGUCAGUCAGGGGUGAAAUCCCGGGGCUCAACCUCGGAACUGCCUUUGAUACAGCAAGUCUUGAGUUCGGGAGAGGUGGGUGGAAUUCCUAGUGUAGAGGUGAAAUUCGUAGAUAUUAGGAAGAACACCGGUGGCGAAGGCGGCCCACUGGCUCGAUACUGACGCUGAGGAGCGAAAGCGUGGGUAGCAAACAGG